Long non-coding RNA from Carassius carassius (crucian carp), 824 nucleotides. RefSeq lists it as uncharacterized. Lineage: Eukaryota; Metazoa; Chordata; Actinopteri; Cypriniformes; Cyprinidae. The transcript is spliced from 2 exons. The record is from RefSeq and is a predicted model, not a curated record.
AGAGAGACACACAGAGAGAGAGAGAGAGAUUUGAUGAGGACAGACGCUCGCUCACACGCUCCUGUUCAGAGAAAGGUUAUCUUCCGGCCGGCAGCAUGUUGCAUCCGCUCCUGAUCUUCAUGGUCGUCAUCAACAUUUCCAUGAGCAUCAUCUUCUGGACCUUCUUGAUGUCGGAGGUCUUCUUCAAAGAGGCAGAGACAGAGGAAGUGUCUCCGGCGUAGAGUCAUGUAGAUCUUCAUAGAGAGUCUCUUCUGCAGCUACAGAACGCUUUCCCUGCAUUAUUAAGUUUCCUGUCAGCCUUCUUUUUUUCUUUUGUCCUGUUUGUUCUGUAACAAAAGCACCGUUUGAGAAUUUGUUUUUGUCGUCUCUCCUCAGAUUGGGUCUUUGGCCCUAAAACUGAAGCUGGUGAUGCUGAGCGUGGUGAUGAAGAGGAGAGGGUUCAGAUGGAGGAAGAGCGAGCCGGUCUGCUGCCCGGAUUCAUCAUCACCGAACACACUCACCUUCAUUACAUCACUUCACUAUGAGUCUACAUACAGUCUGUGCCAGCUGUCACUAUUCUGGCUCAAGUCUGUCACUUCGUUUUUAACGUGUUUUUAACACACCAGAUGCUCUUUUAGCUGCUGUAGAACAGCGAAGCAUAGAUAGCAGUCUUUCAGUAUGGAAAGAGGACGUGGUCAUGUGAUCGCUGUGAUGUCAUCAUUGUAACUGCUGCUUCUGUGAUGCCAUGAAAAUGAAUUCUGGCACUGUAUAUAUACAUAUAACAGAAGGCAUAAAGGAUGCGAGUGAGAUACAGAAUUAAAGCCUCUCCUCAUUAGGAACCAAAA